This 3013-nucleotide ribosomal RNA is filed under the name Salmonella enterica subsp. enterica serovar Indiana. RNAcentral's name for it is "23S ribosomal RNA". It matches the Rfam family "Bacterial large subunit ribosomal RNA". Lineage: Bacteria; Pseudomonadati; Pseudomonadota; Gammaproteobacteria; Enterobacterales; Enterobacteriaceae. The record is from RNAcentral.
GGGUUGUGAGGUUAAGCGACUAAGCGUACACGGUGGAUGCCCUGGCAGUCAGAGGCGAUGAAGGACGUGCUAAUCUGCGAUAAGCGCCGGUAAGGUGAUAUGAACCGUUAUAACCGGCGAUUUCCGAAUGGGGAAACCCAGUGUGACUCGUCACACUAUCAUUAACUGAAUCCAUAGGUUAAUGAGGCGAACCGGGGGAACUGAAACAUCUAAGUACCCCGAGGAAAAGAAAUCAACCGAGAUUCCCCCAGUAGCGGCGAGCGAACGGGGAGGAGCCCAGAGCCUGAAUCAGCAUGUGUGUUAGUGGAAGCGUCUGGAAAGGCGCGCGAUACAGGGUGACAGCCCCGUACACAAAAGCGCAUGUGCUGUGAGCUCGAUGAGUAGGGCGGGACACGUGGUAUCCUGUCUGAAUAUGGGGGGACCAUCCUCCAAGGCUAAAUACUCCUGACUGACCGAUAGUGAACCAGUACCGUGAGGGAAAGGCGAAAAGAACCCCGGCGAGGGGAGUGAAAAAGAACCUGAAACCGUGUACGUACAAGCAGUGGGAGCACAGGUUUACCUGUGUGACUGCGUACCUUUUGUAUAAUGGGUCAGCGACUUAUAUUCUGUAGCAAGGUUAACCGCAUAGGGGAGCCGCAGGGAAACCGAGUCUUAACCGGGCGUUAAGUUGCAGGGUAUAGACCCGAAACCCGGUGAUCUAGCCAUGGGCAGGUUGAAGGUUGGGUAACACUAACUGGAGGACCGAACCGACUAAUGUUGAAAAAUUAGCGGAUGACCUGUGGCUGGGGGUGAAAGGCCAAUCAAACCGGGAGAUAGCUGGUUCUCCCCGAAAGCUAUUUAGGUAGCGCCUCGUGAAUUCAUCUCCGGGGGUAGAGCACUGUUUCGGCUAGGGGGUCAUCCCGACUUACCAACCCGAUGCAAACUGCGAAUACCGGAGAAUGUUAUCACGGGAGACACACGGCGGGUGCUAACGUCCGUCGUGAAGAGGGAAACAACCCAGACCGCCAGCUAAGGUCCCAAAGUCAUGGUUAAGUGGGAAACGAUGUGGGAAGGCCCAGACAGCCAGGAUGUUGGCUUAGAAGCAGCCAUCAUUUAAAGAAAGCGUAAUAGCUCACUGGUCGAGUCGGCCUGCGCGGAAGAUGUAACGGGGCUAAACCAUGCACCGAAGCUGCGGCAGCGAACGUAUCACCCAAGACAACUUUGCGGAGUUGACGAUUGACGGAGCGAAGCGACGUCAAAGCGUUCAUUAAAGUCGAGUUGGCUUAGGGAUACGUUCGUUGGGUAGGGGAGCGUUCUGUAAGCCUGUGAAGGUAUGCUGUGAGGCAUGCUGGAGGUAUCAGAAGUGCGAAUGCUGACAUAAGUAACGAUAAAGCGGGUGAAAAGCCCGCUCGCCGGAAGACCAAGGGUUCCUGUCCAACGUUAAUCGGGGCAGGGUGAGUCGACCCCUAAGGCGAGGCCGAAAGGCGUAGUCGAUGGGAAACGGGUUAAUAUUCCCGUACUUGGUGUUACUGCGAAGGGGGGACGGAGAAGGCUAUGUUGGCCGGGCGACGGUUGUCCCGGUUUAAGCGUGUAGGUGUGUGUUCCAGGUAAAUCCGGUUCACUUUAACACUGAGGCGUGACGACGAGGCACUACGGUGCUGAAGCAACAAAUGCCCUGCUUCCAGGAAAAGCCUCUAAGCAUCAGGUAACAUCAAAUCGUACCCCAAACCGACACAGGUGGUCAGGUAGAGAAUACCAAGGCGCUUGAGAGAACUCGGGUGAAGGAACUAGGCAAAAUGGUGCCGUAACUUCGGGAGAAGGCACGCUGACAUGUAGGUGAAGUGAUUUACUCAUGGAGCUGAAGUCAGUCGAAGAUACCAGCUGGCUGCAACUGUUUAUUAAAAACACAGCACUGUGCAAACACGAAAGUGGACGUAUACGGUGUGACGCCUGCCCGGUGCCGGAAGGUUAAUUGAUGGGGUCAGCGCAAGCGAAGCUCCUGAUCGAAGCCCCGGUAAACGGCGGCCGUAACUAUAACGGUCCUAAGGUAGCGAAAUUCCUUGUCGGGUAAGUUCCGACCUGCACGAAUGGCGUAAUGAUGGCCAGGCUGUCUCCACCCGAGACUCAGUGAAAUUGAACUCGCUGUGAAGAUGCAGUGUACCCGCGGCAAGACGGAAAGACCCCGUGAACCUUUACUAUAGCUUGACACUGAACAUUGAGCCUUGAUGUGUAGGAUAGGUGGGAGGCUUUGAAGUGUGGACGCCAGUCUGCAUGGAGCCGACCUUGAAAUACCACCCUUUAAUGUUUGAUGUUCUAACGUGGACCCGUAAUCCGGGUUGCGGACAGUGUCUGGUGGGUAGUUUGACUGGGGCGGUCUCCUCCUAAAGAGUAACGGAGGAGCACGAAGGUUGGCUAAUCCUGGUCGGACAUCAGGAGGUUAGUGCAAUGGCAUAAGCCAGCUUGACUGCGAGCGUGACGGCGCGAGCAGGUGCGAAAGCAGGUCAUAGUGAUCCGGUGGUUCUGAAUGGAAGGGCCAUCGCUCAACGGAUAAAAGGUACUCCGGGGAUAACAGGCUGAUACCGCCCAAGAGUUCAUAUCGACGGCGGUGUUUGGCACCUCGAUGUCGGCUCAUCACAUCCUGGGGCUGAAGUAGGUCCCAAGGGUAUGGCUGUUCGCCAUUUAAAGUGGUACGCGAGCUGGGUUUAGAACGUCGUGAGACAGUUCGGUCCCUAUCUGCCGUGGGCGCUGGAGAACUGAGGGGGGCUGCUCCUAGUACGAGAGGACCGGAGUGGACGCAUCACUGGUGUUCGGGUUGUCAUGCCAAUGGCACUGCCCGGUAGCUAAAUGCGGAAGAGAUAAGUGCUGAAAGCAUCUAAGCACGAAACUUGCCCCGAGAUGAGUUCUCCCUGAGACUUUAGGUCUCCUGAAGGAACGUUGAAGACGACGACGUUGAUAGGCCGGGUGUGUAAGCGCAGCGAUGCGUUGAGCUAACCGGUACUAAUGAACCGUGAGGCUUAACCUUACAACGCCGAAG